CUAGUUUAUUGUUUCAGGUCUAAACAUAACAAACAGCACACACACACAAACUUAAACCAGUUCAUCUAUUACUAUGUGUGGAGUCUCAGUGUUUAUUGUUGUUCAAUCAUUUGUAAUAUGAACAUAAUAGGGGCAAAAACAUUCAUUUCAUUUAGAAGUAGUGAAAGACAAUGCGCAACAAAAAAUAAACAAGUCCAGUCCUAGAAUUUGUUGUUUUUUUUAUCUCUAAGUACUAAAUAUUUUAUUGCUAUGAAAUUUAUCUUGAGUUCUCAUAGAGUCAAAUCACACCUAACUGUUGAACCAAACAGUUUGACAAAUGUUAAACAUAAAUAAGUUUGAUUGUUUGUUUUUUUCUUACGGUCAAGUGGCCAACUAAAAGAUAGAAAACUUCAUGCAUGUAUUAAAAAGUAGAAUGUCUUGUGCUACAUUACUUAGGUUUGGAUUUUUUUCAUUUUUGGUACAUUAGCCAACUUCAGGCCAUGUCGUACCCUAGACAUUACUUGAGAAUGGGACCUUAUACUUAGGUCUAAGGAGAUCAGUCCACCCAGUACCACUAGGUCAGGACCGUGGUGGCAGAGUGGUAAAGAACUUGGCUUUUGAACCAAGUGGUCUUGGGCUCAAAUCUUGGUAAAAGGUGGCAAUUUUUAUUUUGGGAUUUUUAGGACACCCUGGAGUCCACCCAACUGUAAUAGGUACUUGGCAUUAGUUGGUUGUGUUGGCUACAUGACACCAGUGAAACAAAUGACCAUUACAUUAUUUGACCUAUAAGUGACAAGGUCUGAAAGGGGUAGUUUACUGUCUUACUACUGCUAGGAAGGAGUGUGUAAAGACAGUCCAGCAUCAGACAAAACAAAUAAAUGGAUAUUGCCAAAGUAAACAAAACAGAUGUACAAUGUGUCAUAAGAAUCUGUAAUUUUUGUAUUUACAACAGAAGUUUGUUUUGUAGUUGACAAAUAGGACACCUAAAUUUAAUUUUUUUGAUUCCUUUUUGAGGGAGAUAAUUGUUCUAACACUAGACGCAUGGUUAUUUACAUUACAUAUACAUUAAAAAUGUAUCCAACACAUUGUUCAUCUCACACACCCUCAAACCCCCCCCCCCC
Non-coding RNA from Biomphalaria pfeifferi, 1100 nucleotides. NCBI's taxonomy places the organism in Eukaryota, Metazoa, Mollusca, Gastropoda, Planorbidae. The record is from the annotation of a GenBank genome assembly.